CUUGCACCGAGAUUCAACAUGGAACGAGUGGCGGACGGGUGAGUAACACGUGGGUAACCUGCCCUUAAGUGGGGGAUAACAUUUGGAAACAGAUGCUAAUACCGCAUAGAUCCAAGAACCGCAUGGUUCUUGGCUGAAAGAUGGCGUAAGCUAUCGCUUUUGGAUGGACCCGCGGCGUAUUAGCUAGUUGGUGAGGUAAUGGCUCACCAAGGCGAUGAUACGUAGCCGAACUGAGAGGUUGAUCGGCCACAUUGGGACUGAGACACGGCCCAAACUCCUACGGGAGGCAGCAGUAGGGAAUCUUCCACAAUGGACGCAAGUCUGAUGGAGCAACGCCGCGUGAGUGAAGAAGGCUUUCGGGUCGUAAAACUCUGUUGUUGGAGAAGAAUGGUCGGCAGAGUAACUGUUGCCGGCGUGACGGUAUCCAACCAGAAAGCCACGGCUAACUACGUGCCAGCAGCCGCGGUAAUACGUAGGUGGCAAGCGUUAUCCGGAUUUAUUGGGCGUAAAGCGAGCGCAGGCG
Molecule: ribosomal RNA, 523 nt
Filed under: Lacticaseibacillus paracasei
Lineage: Bacteria; Bacillati; Bacillota; Bacilli; Lactobacillales; Lactobacillaceae
Description: bacterial SSU rRNA
Rfam family: Bacterial small subunit ribosomal RNA
Source: RNAcentral